RNAcentral lists this ribosomal RNA (103 nucleotides) under Salmo salar (Atlantic salmon). The record is from RNAcentral. Lineage: Eukaryota; Metazoa; Chordata; Actinopteri; Salmoniformes; Salmonidae.
GCUUGUGGCCAUACCACCCUGUCUGAUCUUGCUAGCUAAGCAGGGUCAGGCCUGGUAAGUACUUGGAUGGGUGACCACCUGGGAAUAGCAGAUGCUGUAAGCU